GAUGAUAUAGAAACACGAUUCAAUCGUGAAGAGUGCAAUGCAGAUAGGGAGUGGGCCGAUAUUAAAUCUACAUUAUCUAUUUUCAAGGUUAAUAUUAGUCCCAUUAGUGGAAGAAAGUACAAACAUAUGGACAUAGAAGAGCGCGAUCUAGCAUAUUUUUAUGUACUAAAUAAUUGUGAAAAAAUCUAUCAUUUUAUGGAGUAAGUACUUUUACAUAAUCAACACUAUAUAUUUUUCAUGAAGUAAAAUAAAUAAUAAGCAUGUACUUAUUGUAGAGAGCAUAG
This 284-nucleotide long non-coding RNA is filed under the name Elaeis guineensis (African oil palm). RNAcentral's name for it is "long non-coding RNA (EGUI_LNC037453)". Lineage: Eukaryota; Viridiplantae; Streptophyta; Magnoliopsida; Arecales; Arecaceae. The record is from RNAcentral.